Molecule: non-coding RNA, 24 nt
Filed under: Arabidopsis thaliana (thale cress)
Lineage: Eukaryota; Viridiplantae; Streptophyta; Magnoliopsida; Brassicales; Brassicaceae
Source: RNAcentral
UACAGUAACAUGCCAAAUAUAGUG